CUGAGAGUGACUUAGGUUUUCUUCUUUCUUCCUUUUUUCCUCUCCUCCCAUUUCGUUUCAUACUCAGCCAGCCGCCACCGAUUCCAAACUUCUCUUUCAGCCAUCACAUCACUCCUCUCUGCCGUCGCUCUUCUCUCAGCCUCUCUCAGUCGCCGCCGUCACGCAUACUUUGCUCGAGAAUUUGAAAUCACUUUACUCAAACUUGGAAGGUCUCCUUCCUGAUCGAAUUGUUCCAACUGUGGGACUUAAUAUUGGUCGUAUUGAAGCAUCAAAUACCAAACUUGUGUUCUGGGAUCUGGGAGGUCAGGUAUGUGAAAUUCAUCCGUGCCAUUUUUGAUGCAAGAGUUGUUUGUUUUUGCUGUCAGUCUGGUCUUCGCUUAAUCUGGGAAAAAUAUUAUGAAGAAGCACAUGUUGUGGUCUAUGUAAUUGAUGCCACUUGUCCAUCACGUUUUGAAGAUUCAAAAUCUGCAUUAAGUAGGUGAUAUUAAAUCGCUAAAUCUUGUGAACAUAUUGUGCUGGUUCUGUAACUAUGAUUUGCUGAUAUUAUUACUUUUUAACUUUUUAAAAACAGAAAAAGUUAUUCGGCUUGAGGAUUUGCAGAUUUAUUUUUUAUUUUUGUUUUUUGAUUUUCUGUUUUUGUUGGUGGAGUCAAACAGUU
Molecule: long non-coding RNA, 658 nt
Organism: Prunus avium (sweet cherry)
Lineage: Eukaryota; Viridiplantae; Streptophyta; Magnoliopsida; Rosales; Rosaceae
Source: RefSeq, a predicted model, not a curated record